RNAcentral lists this transfer RNA (74 nucleotides) under Ignavibacteria bacterium. RNAcentral's name for it is "tRNA-Pro". It matches the Rfam family "tRNA". From Rfam's summary of the family: Transfer RNA (tRNA) molecules are approximately 80 nucleotides in length. Their secondary structure includes four short double-helical elements and three loops (D, anti-codon, and T loops). The record is from RNAcentral. Lineage: Bacteria; Pseudomonadati; Ignavibacteriota; Ignavibacteria.
CGGUGUGUAGCGCAGCCCGUAGCGCACUACUUUGGGGGUAGUAGGGGUCGUGGGUUCAAAUCCCGCCACACCGC